RNAcentral lists this ribosomal RNA (439 nucleotides) under uncultured bacterium. Its description in RNAcentral is "partial 16S ribosomal RNA". It matches the Rfam family "Bacterial small subunit ribosomal RNA", at positions 339 to 795 of the family's 1533-position model. The record is from RNAcentral.
CUACGGGCCGCUGCAGUGAGGAAUAUUGCACAAUGGGGGGAACCCUGAUGCAGCAACGCCGCGUGGAGGAUGACGCAUUUCGGUGUGUAAACUCCUUUUAUAUGUCAAGAAAAUGACGGUAGCAUAUGAAUAAGCACCGGCUAACUCCGUGCCAGCAGCCGCGGUAAUACGGAGGGUGCAAGCGUUACUCGGAAUCACUGGGCGUAAAGGACGCGUGGGCGGGUUGGAAAGUCAGGUGUGAAAUCCUACAGCUUAACUGUAGAACUGCACUUGAAACUUCUAAUCUAGAGUAUGGGAGGGGGAGAUGGAAUUAGUGGUGUAGGGGUAAAAUCCGUAGAUAUCACUAGGAAUACCUAAAGCGAAGGCGAUCUCCUGGAACAUUACUGACGCUAAGGUGUGAAAGCGUGGGGAGCAAACAGGAUUAGAUACCCGCGUAGUC